AGCGAAGCCUGCACCGUCUCGGCCGCGGAGAAGGCGAGCAGCGAGCCCUCUUUGGCCAGGAAGCCUUUGCCGUCCUCCGCGUCAGCCUGCAGCGCCUCCGCCUUGUCGAAGUUACCGCCGCCGGGCAGCGGCUGCGGCGCGAACUUGCGGGCCGCUGCCGCCUCCUGGUGCUGGGGCGACGCGGAGAAGCCGCCGGGGAGCGUGGCCAUGAGCGUAGAGGGAGGAUGCACGAUUUCUGUCCCAGUGGGAAGGGAUGGCCUUCCAGUGGACGUGACCUCCCCUGCAUGGGGUCGGAAGGAUGAGAUGGCAAAGGUGAGCAGAGGAGGUGCAGCCCUGGCUGGGAGGAUCCUGUUGGGAUGGGGAUGCUGACUGUAGAGCGUGGGGGGCUCAGCCUCAGUGAGCCCAGCAGGAUGUUGGGCAUCUCAGGUCCAUCCUUGCAGGAGAGCAGGUGCCUUCACAAGGGCACAGGCCAGUUGCCUGUUUAAGAGAAUUCUGACUGAUGGCCAUUCUCCUGCCUAAUGCCUGCCUCAGCAGGGUAUGUUCUGUGCUUUCCCCCAAUGUCUGCUGGGGCUAAAAUUUUCAGUUCCU
This 588-nucleotide long non-coding RNA is filed under the name Homo sapiens (human). Its description in RNAcentral is "HSALNT0049142". The record is from RNAcentral. Lineage: Eukaryota; Metazoa; Chordata; Mammalia; Primates; Hominidae.